Non-coding RNA from Malus domestica (apple), 3121 nucleotides. The record is from RefSeq and is a predicted model, not a curated record. NCBI's taxonomy places the organism in Eukaryota, Viridiplantae, Streptophyta, Magnoliopsida, Rosales, Rosaceae.
ACGCUGUUUGGGUAAGGAUUUUCAGUUUUAAACAUCCUCUUUAUACCAUACCUUCAAUCGCAUUUGUCUGCGCCUUCUUCGCAUUUUUGCUUCUUCUCUCGUGAGCCAUACUUGCUUAUUCUCCCAUGUGCCAGAAGCCCAGAACAGGUCGCCACGCUGCCUCUUAGAGCAACACCGGUCACUACGCCGUCGUCACCCCAGCACCGUCACCCUUGCGCCGUUAGCAAGAUCCCAAAGGUUAGGGUUUUUGAAAAUUUGAAAAAGUUAGGGAUUUAGUUUUCUGGGGAAGGUUUUCAGGUUAGGAUAGGUUCAGAAAAUGAAUAUGAAGUUGAACAGGUUUAUCUAUUCAACUAUAAGGCACCAGCCGCACUACACGUGCAAUGCACUAGUGGGUUAAUAAAUAGAGGGGCAUUAGAUAGGUUACAGGUAUUAGUUGGUACUGGUAGGCAUUAGAUAGAAAACAGAAGGGGUUAAUAAAUAGACAUAAGGGGUUAAUAAAUAGGGAGCUUAAUAAAUAUACAGAAAAGUAAUUGAGUACUUUUAGGUUGGGGUUUGUCACGAUAAUGUUAAUUAAUUGAAUACUUUGUUGGUAUUGUUGGUUCAUUAAUUGUAUGCAUGCAUCAAAUGUUUAUUGUUUAGGGCAUUGAAGAAUAUGGCUUUUUCUUCUAAGAAGGAUUUUGCUUGGCAAUGGACAAAAGAUUUGGAUCCUGUCACCAAGCACUUCUAUUGUGUUUUUUGUAACCACAAAUGCACAGAUUCAAUUUUUAGAUUCAAACAUUACUUGGGUGGUGUAAGUUCGGGAGGAAUGAUAAAUUGUAAAAAAGUCCCACCCAAUGUGAAGGAAGAAUGGUUUGCUAAUGUUAUGGGAACUAAAGAAAAGAGGAAAACUAGCCAUGAGUUGUGUCGUGGUGGUGGAGAAGAAAGUGAAAGUGUCGAUAUGGGCACAACAAGGACACCAUAUGUAAGUAGUGGGAGUGGGAGUGGGAGUGUGAGUGCGACAUAUUCACAACAAACUGGUUCUUUUCUACCACCUAGGUCAAGGAGACCACUUGAUAGGUAUGUUACAUCGGAAGCUCGUCAAGCCACAUUGAAUACACCUUUCAAAAAAGAGGAAAGAAGACAAGCAUCCCGGGCACUUGUGUGAUGGUUCUACACUAGUGUCAUUCCAUUCAAUGCGGCAAACAAUGAACAUUAUGUUAAUGCAAUGAAAUUGGUAUCCAAUUUUGGUCCCGACUUUAAUGCUCCUACAAGCCAUGAAUAUAGAACUUGGAUGCUCAAAGAAGAAGUUGAGGAUGUAAAAACUAUGAUGAAAGAACAUCAAAAGGCUUGGAAGAGAUAUGAAUGCACUAUUAUGUCAGAUGGAUUGUCGGAUGGCAAAAGUAGGUGUUUAAUCAACUUUCUUGUCAAUAACCCGUAAGGUACUUGGUUCUUGAAAUCGAUUGAUGCAUCGGCCUCAUUAAGAAUGGAGAUUUGUUGUAUGGCUAUUUGGAUGAUGUUAUUCAAGAAGUUGGGGAGGAGAAUGUGGUUCAAGUUAUAUCCGACAAUGCUUUGAACUACAAGAAUGCCGGGGCAAAACUUAUGGAGAGGAAAGAGAAGGUGUGGUGGACUUCAUGUGCGGCUCAUUGCAUUGAUUUGAUGCUAGAAUAUAUUUUUAAGAUGAUAUGGUUUGAUGACACUCUCAAACGUGUUAGGUGUAUUUCAAAGUAUCUAUAUGGGCAUCAAUGGGUACUAGCUUUGAUGAGAAAAUACACCAACAAUUCGGAAAGUAUCUACAAGGUUUGCCACUUAUUUCCUUACACUACAAAGCUUACAAAAGCAAAAGGAAAAUCUUGUUGCUUUGUUUGCCUCUCAAGAAUGGUCGGAAAGUACCUAUGCAAAAUCCCAUGAAGCAAAGUUGGCAAAGCAUCAUGUGUUACAUGAUCGUGAGUUUUGGGGUCGAGUUUCCUUUUGCAUUAAGGGUGUUCUUCCUCUUGUUUGUGUUUUGAGAGAGGUUGAUUCGGAGGAAAGACCUCUCAUGGGUUUUAUAUAUGAGUUGAUGGAUGCCGCAAAAGAGAAAAUUGCGAGCAAUCUUAACAAAGUGGAGAAAAAAUAUAUGCCUAUUUGGAGAAAGAUAGAUCGUAGAUGGGACGAUCAACUUCAUCAACCAUUACAUGCGGCGGGCUAUUACUUAAACCCACAAUUUCGAUAUGAGGAUGAUUUCUUAGCUAUUGAUGAAGUGGUAAAUGGGUUGUUUGCUUGCAUGGAUAGGAUGCUUGGGAAAGGGAAAGAACGUGAAAAGGCCGAUUGUCAAUUGGAUUUAUAUAAUGAUAAGCGUGGUCCAUUUGUGGAUUCUAUGGCUAUGCAAACUAGGAAAAAGCGAACACCAACGGCUUGGUGGGAGCGCUUUGGGCAUAAAACACCCGAGUUAAGGAAGUUUGAUGUCUGAGUUCUAAGCCUUACUUGUAGUGCGUCGGGAUAUGAGAGGAAUUGGAGCACAUUUUCAAUGAUUCAUACAAAAAGAAGGAAUAGACUUGAACACAAAAGGCUUAAUGCUUUAGCCUAUGUCAAGUAUAGUUUGGCUUUACAACAGAGAAGUAAGAAAAUGAGGGAGAAGUAUGAUCCUAUUGUUGUGGAAGAAAUUGCCUCUGAUGAUGAGUGGAUAACGGAGAUAAAAGAUCCCGUUCUUCCCGAAGAUCCUACAUGGCUUGAGGAUGAGUUAUUGUAUAAUGUUAAGGCCGUAAAGAAUGUGCCACCCCUGGUUUAUGAAGGUGGCCCAUACAUUCAAGAGCCUAGAGAGUUUUCUUCUCCUCCUCCUCGUGAGCCUACUCCUCCUUGAGAGCCUACUCAACCUCGGGGUCUUAUUACAUACAAAAGAAAACGAGGUAAUGAAGAAUCCUCAAGUCAAAGAAAUGUGAAGUAUGAUUCAAAAGAAUCUUUUGAUGAAUUGAUGACAUACCCUACAAGGUCAUCUAGAGUUGGCAAUGAAGAGGAUGAUGCCUUUUAUUUAGAUGAAGAGGAUUUGGAUGAUUGAUUGAUAUCUUUGUUUGUAUUUUGAUUUCUAUGAAGAGGAUUUGGAUGAAUGAUUGUUUUCUUUGUUUGUAUUACCUUUUGAAUGAUAAAUUUGGAUGAUAUUACCUUUGAA